RNAcentral lists this ribosomal RNA (853 nucleotides) under Salmonella enterica subsp. enterica serovar Weltevreden. RNAcentral describes it as "partial 23S ribosomal RNA". It matches the Rfam family "Bacterial large subunit ribosomal RNA", at positions 711 to 1562 of the family's 2925-position model. Lineage: Bacteria; Pseudomonadati; Pseudomonadota; Gammaproteobacteria; Enterobacterales; Enterobacteriaceae. The record is from RNAcentral.
AGACCCGAAACCCGGUGAUCUAGCCAUGGGCAGGUUGAAGGUUGGGUAACACUAACUGGAGGACCGAACCGACUAAUGUUGAAAAAUUAGCGGAUGACCUGUGGCUGGGGGUGAAAGGCCAAUCAAACCGGGAGAUAGCUGGUUCUCCCCGAAAGCUAUUUAGGUAGCGCCUCGUGAAUUCAUCUCCGGGGGUAGAGCACUGUUUCGGCUAGGGGGCCAUCCCGGCUUACCAACCCGAUGCAAACUGCGAAUACCGGAGAAUGUUAUCACGGGAGACACACGGCGGGUGCUAACGUCCGUCGUGAAGAGGGAAACAACCCAGACCGCCAGCUAAGGUCCCAAAGUCAUGGUUAAGUGGGAAACGAUGUGGGAAGGCCCAGACAGCCAGGAUGUUGGCUUAGAAGCAGCCAUCAUUUAAAGAAAGCGUAAUAGCUCACUGGUCGAGUCGGCCUGCGCGGAAGAUGUAACGGGGCUAAACCAUGCACCGAAGCUGCGGCAGCGACGCUUAUGCGUUGUUGGGUAGGGGAGCGUUCUGUAAGCCUGUGAAGGUGGCCUGUGAGGGUUGCUGGAGGUAUCAGAAGUGCGAAUGCUGACAUAAGUAACGAUAAAGCGGGUGAAAAGCCCGCUCGCCGGAAGACCAAGGGUUCCUGUCCAACGUUAAUCGGGGCAGGGUGAGUCGACCCCUAAGGCGAGGCCGAAAGGCGUAGUCGAUGGGAAACGGGUUAAUAUUCCCGUACUUGGUGUUACUGCGAAGGGGGGACGGAGAAGGCUAUGUUGGCCGGGCGACGGUUGUCCCGGUUUAAGCGUGUAGGUGUGUGUUCCAGGUAAAUCCGGUUCACUUUAACACUGAGGC